Long non-coding RNA from Zingiber officinale, 451 nucleotides. RefSeq lists it as uncharacterized. The record is from RefSeq and is a predicted model, not a curated record. The transcript is spliced from 3 exons. Lineage: Eukaryota; Viridiplantae; Streptophyta; Magnoliopsida; Zingiberales; Zingiberaceae.
CGAACUUUGGAGUUCGUCCCAGAAUAGGGACGAACCAGGGGACGAAAUAAAAUUUGUCCCCAAAUUUGCCCUAAUUACAUCCCCGAUUAUUCCUCUUCCUUCUUGUCACGGGAGCUAACUUUUUCUUCCCUCUUUCACGCGAGCAGCCUCUUGUUCCUUCUUUUCACGCGCGGCGAGAGUGGACGUUGCUCUCCGGCCACGAUUCCACGCUCUCCGGUAGGUUAAUUUGUAUUUGACGUGGCUUGGAUAGACGCUCAUCUUUGUUCUUCUAUGUGAGGAAAAGGAGAACGAAGCAUGGAAGAAGGUGCAUGAAGCUCCCGGAGCAUGACGAUUAGUAUUUUAUUUUAUGCUUAGAUGUAUUUGUUAUUUGGAUUAUGAGUUGUUGAACCAAACUAGUUCUUGUUUUCAUGUGUAAAUAUGAUGUUUGUUGAAUUGAUAUAUUUGAAUGUUA